This 234-nucleotide ribosomal RNA is filed under the name uncultured bacterium. Its description in RNAcentral is "partial 16S ribosomal RNA". It matches the Rfam family "Bacterial small subunit ribosomal RNA", at positions 118 to 351 of the family's 1533-position model. The record is from RNAcentral.
UGAGUAACCUGCCCUUAACUCUGGGAUAAGCCUGGGAAACUGGGUCUAAUACCGGAUAUGACUCCUCAUCGCAUGGUGGGGGGUGGAAAGCUUUUGUGGUUUUGGAUGGACUCGCGGCCUAUCAGCUUGUUGGUGAGGUAAUGGCUCACCAAGGCGACGACGGGUAGCCGGCCUGAGAGGGUGACCGGCCACACUGGGACUGAGACACGGCCCAGACCUCCGUACGGGAGGCAG